ACUCAAAUGAAUAGACGGGGACCCGCACAAGCGGUGGAGCAUGUGGAUUAAUUCGAUACUAACCGAAGAACCUUACCCAGACUUGACAUCGAUCGCAAGAUCCUGAAAGGGAUCCCUCUCCAAAAGAGACGAGAAGACACUUGUUGCAUGGCUGUCGUCAGCUCGUGCCGUGAGGUGUACGGUUAAGUCCGCCAACGAGCGCAACCCACGUCCUGUGUUACCAGCGAGAGAGUCGGGCACUCACAGGAGACCGCCGGUGUAAGCCGGAGGAAGGUGUGGAUGACGUCAAGUCAGCAUGGCAGUUACGUCUGGGGCUUCACACAUGCUACAAUGGGCGCAACAGAGGGCCGCGAUACCGCGAGGUGGAGCCAAUCCCAAAAAUACGCCCCCAGUUCAGAUUGCAGUCUGCAACUCGACUGCAUGAAGGCGGAAUCGCUAGUAAACGCAGGUCAGCUAUACUGCGUUGAAUACGUUCCCGGGUCUUGUACACACCGCCCGU
This 499-nucleotide ribosomal RNA is filed under the name uncultured bacterium. RNAcentral's name for it is "partial 16S ribosomal RNA". It matches the Rfam family "Bacterial small subunit ribosomal RNA", at positions 899 to 1397 of the family's 1533-position model. The record is from RNAcentral.